UACGUAGGGGGCAAGCGUUGUCCGGAUUCAUUGGGCGUAAAGAGCGUGUAGGCGGCCAGGUAGGUCGGUUGUGAAAACUGGAGGCUCAACCUUCAGACGUCGACCGAAACCAUCUGGCUAGAGUCCGGGAGAGGAGAGUGGAAUUCCUGGUGUAGCGGUGAAAUGCGCAGAUAUCAGGAAGAACACCCGUGGCGAAAGCGACUCUCUGGAACGGUACUGACGCUGAGACGCGAAAGCGUGGGGAGCGAACAGG
RNAcentral lists this ribosomal RNA (253 nucleotides) under uncultured bacterium. RNAcentral describes it as "partial 16S ribosomal RNA". It matches the Rfam family "Bacterial small subunit ribosomal RNA", at positions 524 to 776 of the family's 1533-position model. The record is from RNAcentral.